AAUAAAAGACAGAGAAGCAAAAAUGCGCAAUUAUUUGUUGGCGACUCCUUGAGCAAAGCAUGUCUUGCGGCUGUCUAUUUUAAAUUUAUAAUCUAUUCCUUUCCUUUCUCCACCACCAAGUAAUCAACUCAACCACACUCGCCACCCCCGGCCGCUGGUACCACCACCACCACAGCUAUUGCUAAUCUCCGUACAGAAACGAAAUAAAAACGCAAAUUUGUCGAUCAAUCAGUUAAAAAGUUAAUUGAUUGAUUAAUUGCACAUGAUCCGUUGUUUUGGAAUUUGAUCAGAAGUAGAAAUAUCUUAAUUCUUGAUAUUGUAAUCAUGGAAAUGAGGCCAAAUCCUGCGGUUGAUAAUUCGCCGCCGCAGCAUCGACGCCAUUCAUCUGCCGCUCCAUCGAAGCAGCCCACUGCUCCUCCUAACCCGGUCGAUACCUCCUCUGUUACUCAAAGGUUGCAGAAAGAAUUAAUGUCUCUCAUGAUGAGUGGAGGAGAUCUCGGCGUGUCAGCAUUUCCUGAAGGGGAGAGCAUUUUCACGUGGAUUGGCACAAUUGAGGGUGGAAAAGGCACAGUGUACGAGGGAUUAUCAUAUAAGCUCUCUUUGCGUUUUCCUCUGGACUACCCCUUUAAACCACCACAAGUCAAAUUUGAGACAAGUUGCUUUCAUCCUAAUGUUGAUCAGUUUGGCAACAUAUGCCUAGACAUACUCCAGGAGAAGUGGUCGUCAGCUUACGAUUGCAGAACCAUUCUUUUGUCCAUUCAAAGUCUAUUGGGAGAGCCUAAUCCAGACAGUCCUCUUAACAGCUAUGCUGCAAAAUUAUGGAAUAAUAAGGAAGGUCAGAUGGACAUACAUUUAGUUACACUGGAAAGCCUUUUUUUGGCUCCCCCGGUUCUUGAUUAAUAGUACGCACAACCGUCUUUCUGUUUCAAACCAAAAUUGAACCGGAACCAAAUAAUGAUUACCAGAAGAUGGUUCACAAACAGUACUAUGAUGGAGUAGUAUCAGAGAGCUGAUCUGCAGAAUUGUGAAAUAUUUUACUGCCAAAGCUUGUAAAUGUUCAAGAGAAGUCUUGAGUGGGUUUGGAUCUUUCUAGUCCACACCCAAAUGAAAACUUGUUAUCUGAAACACACUAAUUCUUCAACAUCCCUCUGUUUCUCACUGAUGAAAUGAGUUUGUAUUUUUAUUUGCUGUAAUUGCAAAAUAAGCUCAUACAAAUGAUUGUAAAUUUUUCAAAAUCAUUUUGAAAGUGUUUUUCACCACUUGUGUAAUUGGAGAGAUCAUUUAAAUGGA
Molecule: RNA transcript, 1290 nt
Organism: Jatropha curcas
Lineage: Eukaryota; Viridiplantae; Streptophyta; Magnoliopsida; Malpighiales; Euphorbiaceae
Source: RefSeq, a predicted model, not a curated record